GGAGAGGUGGCCGAGUGGUUGAAGGCAACGGUCUUGAAAACCGUCGUGCGGGAAACCGUACCGAGGGUUCGAAUCCCUCCCUCUCCGCCA
This 90-nucleotide transfer RNA is filed under the name Candidatus Saccharimonadota bacterium. Its description in RNAcentral is "Candidatus Saccharibacteria bacterium tRNA-Ser". It matches the Rfam family "tRNA". Rfam says of the family: Transfer RNA (tRNA) molecules are approximately 80 nucleotides in length. The record is from RNAcentral. Lineage: Bacteria; Candidatus Saccharimonadota.